AGAUUUUUUUUGCAGUGGCAGUAUUGUAGCCCAUGAGGUUUAUCCAAGGAGUGGUUAUUGCUAGUUAAAAACUUUUCAACAGAAUAGCUCAUUGCUUGUGAAGAUUCAAGGAUC
Molecule: small nuclear RNA, 114 nt
Filed under: Mus caroli (Ryukyu mouse)
Lineage: Eukaryota; Metazoa; Chordata; Mammalia; Rodentia; Muridae
Description: snRNA (MGP_CAROLIEiJ_G0035069.1)
Rfam family: U4 spliceosomal RNA
About the family: U4 small nuclear RNA (U4 snRNA) is a component of the major U2-dependent spliceosome. The structure of U4 snRNA from yeast and human has been reported. U4 snRNA presents a k-turn RNA motif in the 5p-SL related to recognition of Snu13 protein.
Source: RNAcentral